UGCCUCUAGAAGCAGGACAUAAACUGCAGAA
Molecule: non-coding RNA, 31 nt
Filed under: Rattus norvegicus (Norway rat)
Lineage: Eukaryota; Metazoa; Chordata; Mammalia; Rodentia; Muridae
Source: RNAcentral